CUUGCGUCACAUUAGUUAGUUGGUGGGGUAAAGGCCUACCAAGACUAUGAUGUGUAGCCGGGCUGAGAGGUUGAACGGCCACAUUGGGACUGAGACACGGCCCAAACUCCUACGGGAGGCAGCAGUAGGGAAUUUUCGGCAAUGGAGGAAACUCUGACCGAGCAACGCCGCGUGAACGAUGAAGUAUUUCGGUACGUAAAGUUCUUUUAUUAGGGAAGAAUAAAUGAUGGAAAAAUCAUUCUGACGGUACCUAAUGAAUAAGCCCCGGCUAACUAUGUGCCAGCAGCCGCGGUAAUACAUAGGGGGCAAGCGUUAUCCGGAAUUAUUGGGCGUAAAGGGUGCGUAGGCGGUUAAAUAAGUUUAUGGUCUAAGUGCAAUGCUCAACAUUGUGAUGCUAUAAAAACUGUUUAGCUAGAGUAAGAUAGAGGCAAGUGGAAUUCCAUGUGUAGUGGUAAAAUGCGUAAAUAUAUGGAGGAACACCAGUAGCGAAGGCGGCUUGCUGGGUCUUUACUGACGCUGAGGCACGAAAGCGUGGGGAGCAAACAGGAUUAGAUACCCUGGUAGUCCACGCCGUAAACGAUGAGUACUAAACGUUGGGUAAAACCAGUGUUGAAGUUAACACAUUAAGUACUCCGCCUGAGUAGUACGUACGCAAGUAUGAAACUUAAAGGAAUUGACGGGACUCCGCACAAGCGGUGGAUCAUGUUGUUUAAUUCGAAGGUACCCGAAAAACCUCACCAGGUCUUGACAUGCUUCUGCAAAGCUGUAGAAACACAGUGGAGGUUAUCAGUUGCACAGGUGGUGCAUGGUUGUCGUCAGCUCGUGUCGUGAGAUGUUGGGUUAAGUCCCGCAACGAGCGCAACCCUUAUUGUUAGUUACCAGCACGUAAUGGUGGGGACUUUAGCAAGACUGCCAGUGAUAAAUUGGAGGAAGGUGGGGACGACGUCAAAUCAUCAUGCCCCUUAUGACCUGGGCUACAAACGUGAUACAAUGGCUGUUACAAAGGGUAGCUGAAGCGCAAGUUUUUGGCAAAUCUCAAAAAACA
Molecule: ribosomal RNA, 1045 nt
Filed under: 'Prunus cerasus' phytoplasma
Lineage: Bacteria; Bacillati; Mycoplasmatota; Mollicutes; Acholeplasmatales; Acholeplasmataceae
Description: bacterial SSU rRNA
Rfam family: Bacterial small subunit ribosomal RNA
Source: RNAcentral